GUUGAAAAAUUAGCGGAUGACCUGUGGCUGGGGGUGAAAGGCCAAUCAAACCGGGAGAUAGCUGGUUCUCCCCGAAAGCUAUUUAGGUAGCGCCUCGUGAAUUCAUCUCCGGGGGUAGAGCACUGUUUCGGCUAGGGGGCCAUCCCGGCUUACCAACCCGAUGCAAACUGCGAAUACCGGAGAAUGUUAUCACGGGAGACACACGGCGGGUGCUAACGUCCGUCGUGAAGAGGGAAACAACCCAGACCGCCAGCUAAGGUCCCAAAGUCAUGGUUAAGUGGGAAACGAUGUGGGAAGGCCCAGACAGCCAGGAUGUUGGCUUAGAAGCAGCCAUCAUUUAAAGAAAGCGUAAUAGCUCACUGGUCGAGUCGGCCUGCGCGGAAGAUGUAACGGGGCUAAACCAU
RNAcentral lists this ribosomal RNA (404 nucleotides) under Salmonella enterica subsp. enterica serovar 1,9,12:-:-. Its description in RNAcentral is "partial 23S ribosomal RNA". It matches the Rfam family "Bacterial large subunit ribosomal RNA", at positions 788 to 1190 of the family's 2925-position model. The record is from RNAcentral. RNAcentral also lists the same sequence under 1 other name. Lineage: Bacteria; Pseudomonadati; Pseudomonadota; Gammaproteobacteria; Enterobacterales; Enterobacteriaceae.